This 253-nucleotide ribosomal RNA is filed under the name uncultured bacterium. RNAcentral's name for it is "partial 16S ribosomal RNA". It matches the Rfam family "Bacterial small subunit ribosomal RNA", at positions 524 to 776 of the family's 1533-position model. The record is from RNAcentral.
GACAGAGGAGCCAAGUGUUGUCCGGAUUUAUUGGGCGUAAAGAGCGUGUAGGCGGCCUGGAAGGUCAGCUGUGAAAACUCGAGGCUCAACCUCGAGACGUCGGUUGAAACCACCUGGCUAGAGUCCGGAAGAGGAGUGUGGAAUUCCCGGUGUAGCGGUGAAAUGCGCAGAUAUCGGGAGGAACACCAGUAGCGAAGGCGGCACUCUGGGCCGGUACUGACGCUGAGGAGCGAAAGCGUGGGGAGCGAACAGG